This 69-nucleotide transfer RNA is filed under the name Marmota monax (woodchuck). It matches the Rfam family "tRNA". From Rfam's summary of the family: Transfer RNA (tRNA) molecules are approximately 80 nucleotides in length. Lineage: Eukaryota; Metazoa; Chordata; Mammalia; Rodentia; Sciuridae. The record is from Rfam by way of RNAcentral.
GGAGUUGUGGCUCAGUGGUAAAGUGCUUGCCUUCCAUGCAUGGGACACUGGGUUUGAUCCUCAGCACCA